UCCUUCAUAGCUCAGUCGGUAAAGAAUCUGCCUGCCAUGCAGGAGACCCAGAUUCGAUUCCUGGGUUGGAA
This 71-nucleotide transfer RNA is filed under the name Bos taurus (domestic cattle). It matches the Rfam family "tRNA". From Rfam's summary of the family: Transfer RNA (tRNA) molecules are approximately 80 nucleotides in length. Their secondary structure includes four short double-helical elements and three loops (D, anti-codon, and T loops). Lineage: Eukaryota; Metazoa; Chordata; Mammalia; Artiodactyla; Bovidae. RNAcentral also lists the same sequence under 2 other names. The record is from Rfam by way of RNAcentral.